UUCUGAGAGGAAGGUCCCCCACAUUGGAACUGAGACACGGUCCAAACUCCUACGGGAGGCAGCAGUGAGGAAUAUUGGUCAAUGGGCGAGAGCCUGAACCAGCCAAGUAGCGUGCAGGAUGACGGCCCUAUGGGUUGUAAACUGCUUUUAUAAGGGAAUAAAGUGAGCCUCGUGAGGCUUUUUGCAUGUACCUUAUGAAUAAGGACCGGCUAAUUCCGUGCCAGCAGCCGCGGUAAUACGGAAGGUCCGGGCGUUAUCCGGAUUUAUUGGGUUUAAAGGGAGCGUAGGCCGGAGAUUAAGCGUGUUGUGAAAUGUAGAUGCUCAACAUCUGCACUGCAGCGCGAACUGGUUUCCUUGAGUACGCACAAAGUGGGCGGAAUUCGUGGUGUAGCGGUGAAAUGCUUAGAUAUCACGAAGAACUCCGAUUGCGAAGGCAGCUCACUGGAGCGCAACUGACGCUGAAGCUCGAAAGUGCGGGUAUCGAACAGGAUUAGAUACCCUGGUAGUCCGCACGGUAAACGAUGGAUGCCCGCUGUUGGUCUGAAUAGGUCAGCGGCCAAGCGAAAGCAUUAAGCAUCCCACCUGGGGAGUA
This 592-nucleotide ribosomal RNA is filed under the name uncultured bacterium. RNAcentral describes it as "bacterial SSU rRNA". It matches the Rfam family "Bacterial small subunit ribosomal RNA", at positions 290 to 882 of the family's 1533-position model. The record is from RNAcentral.